GACGAACGCUGGCGGCGUGCUUAACACAUGCAAGUCGAACGGAAAGGCCCUGCUUUUGUGGGGUGCUCGAGUGGCGAACGGGUGAGUAACACGUGAGUAACCUGCCCUUGACUUUGGGAUAACUUCAGGAAACUGGGGCUAAUACCGGAUAGGAGCUCCUGCUGCAUGGUGGGGGUUGGAAAGUUUCGGCGGUUGGGGAUGGACUCGCGGCUUAUCCGCUUGUUGGUGGGGUAGUGGCUUACCAAGGCUUUGACGGGUAGGCGGCCUGAGAGGGUGACCGGCCACAUUGGGACUGAGAUACGGCGCAGACUCCUACGGGAGGCAGCAGUGGGGAAUAUGGCACAAUGGGCGGAAGCCUGAUGCAGCAACGCCGCGUGCGGGAUGACGGCCUUCGGGUUGUAAACCGCUUUCGCCUGUGACGAAGCGUGAGUGACGGUAAUGGGUAAAGAAGCACCGGCUAACUACGUG
RNAcentral lists this ribosomal RNA (468 nucleotides) under uncultured bacterium. RNAcentral describes it as "partial 16S ribosomal RNA". It matches the Rfam family "Bacterial small subunit ribosomal RNA", at positions 28 to 507 of the family's 1533-position model. The record is from RNAcentral.